This 266-nucleotide long non-coding RNA is filed under the name Olea europaea (common olive). RNAcentral describes it as "long non-coding RNA (OEUR_LNC008717)". Lineage: Eukaryota; Viridiplantae; Streptophyta; Magnoliopsida; Lamiales; Oleaceae. The record is from RNAcentral.
AUUAAUCAACAAUCGUGUUAAAUGCAUAACUAUAAAAAUGUGCAGUUGCAUUAACCCUUUAUUCUAUCAUCGUGUCCUUGUCUGCACCUAUCUAUGAAACUGACAUGUAUUUCUCAUGUUUAGCGUGUACUUUUGUUAAUGGAAGCACAUUAAACAAGAAAUUUUGACAUUUUCAUUACAUUAUCAAAAAGUUUACUCAUUUUCUCCAACUUCCUAUGAAUUGCUAUUUUCUCUAUAUCUUUAUAAAUUGUUUCUAGUAUUACUGG